Molecule: ribosomal RNA, 617 nt
Filed under: Passiflora geminiflora
Lineage: Eukaryota; Viridiplantae; Streptophyta; Magnoliopsida; Malpighiales; Passifloraceae
Description: eukaryotic LSU rRNA
Rfam family: 5.8S ribosomal RNA (bases 257-412)
Source: RNAcentral
CCCCGUGAACCUGUUAAAUGAAAAUAAAGGGGUUUGUGUCAGGAACGGGCCCCGGUUCUUCCCUUUAUGUGGAGGUGGUGUGGAUGGAAAUGGUGGCCUUGUUCCAUCCUCUCUUCCGCAUUGUCCUCCAAACAAACAAAACCCCGGUGCAAAAUGCGCCAAGGAAUUUUAAACGAAAAGAGAAGGGAACUAACGCCCUAACGUGCCGGGAACGGAAUUCGCAAGGGCGGUUAGUUACCCUAUUUGAAAACUAAACGACUCUCGGCAACGGAUAUCUUGGCUCUCGCAUCGAUGAAGAACGUAGCGAAAUGCGAUACUUGGUGUGAAUUGCAGAAUCCCGUGAACCAUCGAGUUUUUGAACGCAAGUUGCGCCCGAAGCCUUCGGGCCAAGGGCACGUCUGCCUGGGUGUCAUGUAUCGUUGCCCCCAUCCAACUCCCUAUGUGGGAGAUUGGACUAGGGGCGGAAAAUGGUCUCCCGUGACCUCUUUGCUCGCGGUUGGCCAAAAUUUGAGUUGUUGGUGAGCAUGUCACGGCAAGUGGUGGUUGAUAAAACCUUCGAGAAAAGUCGUGGCCAAGCCAACAAAAGGCUCCGAGACCCAAUUCACUCCCAACAGCGA